RNAcentral lists this long non-coding RNA (10030 nucleotides) under Brassica rapa (field mustard). RNAcentral describes it as "long non-coding RNA (BRAP_LNC003175)". The record is from RNAcentral. Lineage: Eukaryota; Viridiplantae; Streptophyta; Magnoliopsida; Brassicales; Brassicaceae.
GGUUAACCCCCCCUACGAAAAUGUUGAAUAUUUCAGUAAAUGCCAUAUAUAUUGAAGCCUAUGGUCUUUAGUGUUGUUUUAAAAUUUCUAAACACAUUAAAAAUUUGUAUUAAUCUAUAUUAAACUCUCUUUCAUGGUACAUGAGCAUCGUUUUAAUUUUUUUCAAUUAAUUUAGUAAAACUUCAUAAUACUCCUUAAAUUGGUGGAUUAACCAAUAGAAAAUCGCUAUUCUUUACAAAACGGAGACAACAAAGGUUUCAAACCUCGUUUACCUUCAUCAUAUGUAAGUGAAGGAUGCAACUAUGUAUUAAAACAGUAUUUUCAUUUUUUUGAAUUUUUCUCAAAAUCUAUGGGUAACCCCUACGAAAAUAUUGAGUUUUUCAGUUAACGCCAUAUAUACUGAAGCCUAUGGUGUUUAGUGUUGUUUUAAAAUUCUAAACACAUUCUACAUUUGUAUUAAUCUAUAUUAAACUCUCUUUCAUGGUACAUGAGCAUCGUUUUAAUUUUUUUUCAUCUAAUUUAGUAAAACUUCAUAAUAUUCCUUAAAUUGGUGGACUAACCAAUAGAAAAUCGCUAUUCUCUAGAAAAACGAAGACAACAAUGGUUUCAAAUCUCGUUUACAUUCAUCAUAUGUAAGUUAAGGAUGCAACUAUGCAUUAAAGAAAUAUUUUCAUUUUUUUGAUUUUUUUUCAAAACCUAUGAAAAUAUUGAGUUUUUCGGUAAAUGCUCUAUAUACUGAAGCCUAUGAUCUUUAGUGUUGUUUUAAAAUUUCUAAACACAUUUUACAUUUGUAUUAAUGUAUAUUAAACUCUCUUUCAUGGUACAUGAGCAUCAUUUUAAUUUUUUUUCAGUUAAUUUAUUUAAACUUCAUAAUAUUCCUUAAAUUGGUGGACUAACCACUAGAAAAUCGUUAUUCUCUAGAAAAACGAAUACAACAAAGGUUCUAAACCUUUUUGAACUUCAUCAUAUGUUAGUGUAGGAUGCAAAUAUGCAUUAAAAAUUAUUUUUACUUUUUUUUAAUUUUUCUCAAAAUCUAUGGGUUAACACCACUACGAAAAUAUUGAGUUUUUGGGUAAAUACUCUAUAAACUGAAGCAUAUGAUCUUUAGUGUUGUUUUAAAAUUUCUAAACACACUUUACAUUUGAAUUAAUCUAUAUUAAACUCUCUUUCAUGGUACAUGAGCAUCGUUUUAAUUUUGUUUUCAAUUAAUUUAGUAAAACUUCAUAAUACUCCCUAAAUUGGUGGACUAACCAUUAGAAAAUCGCUAUUCUCUAGAAAAACGGAGACAACAAAGGUUCCAAACCUCUUUGACCUUCAUCAUUUGUUAGUAUAGGAUGCAAAUAUGCAUUAAAAAAUUAUUUUCAUAUUUUUGAAUUUUUUCUCAAAAUCUAUGGGUUAACCCCUACGAAAAUAUUGAAUUUUUCGGUAAAUGUCAUAUAUACUGAAAACUAUGAUCUUUAGUGUUGUUUCAAAAUUUCUAAAUACAUUCUACAUUUGUAUUAAUCUAUAUUAAACUCUAUUUCAUGGUCUAUGAGCAUUGUUUUAAUUUUUUUUUCAAUUAAUUUAGUAAAACUUCAUAAUACUCCCUAAAUUGGUGAACUAACCACUAGAAAAUUGUCAUUCUCUAGAAAAACGGAGAAAACAAAGGUUCUAAACCUUUUUGACCUUCAUCACAUGUUAGUGAAGGAUGCAGCUAUGUAUUAAAACAGUAUUUUCAUUUUUUUGAAUUUUUCUCAAAAUCUAUGGGUUAACCCCCUACGAAAAUAUUGAAUAUUUCAGUAAAUGCCAUAUAUAUUGAAGCCUAUAGUCUUUAGUGUUGUUUUAAAAUUUCUAAACAUAUUCAAAAUUUGUAUUAAUCUAUAUUAAACUCUCUUUCAUGGUACAUGAGCAUCGUUUUAUUUUUUUUUCAAUUAAUUUAGUAAAACUUCAUAAUACUCCUUCAAUUGGUGGACUAACCAAUAGAAAAUCGCUAUUCUUUACAAAACGGAGACAACAAAGGUUUCAAACCUCGUUUACCUUCAUCAUAUGUAAGUGAAUGAUGCAACUAUGUAUUAAAACAGUAUUUUCAUUUUUUUGAAUUUUCUCAAAAUCUAUGGGUUAACCCCUACGAAAAUAUUGAGUUUUUCAGUUAACGCCAUAUAUACUGAAGCCUAUGGUCUUUAGUGUUGUUUUAAAAUUCUAAACACAUUCUACAUUUGUAUUAAUCUAUAUUAAACUCUCUUUCAUGGUACAUGAGCAUCGUUUUAAUUUUUUUCAAUUAAUUUAGUAAAACUUCAUAAUAUUCCUUAAAUUGGUGGACUAACCAAUAGAAAAUUGCCAUUCUCUAAAAAAACGGAGACAACAAAGGUUUCAAAUCUCGUUUACAUUCAUCAUAUGUAAGUGAAGGAUGCAACUAUGCAUUAAAGAAAUAUUUUCAUUUUUUUGAUUUUUUUUCAAAACCUAUGAAAAUAUUGAGUUUUUUCGGUAAAUGCUCUAUAUACUAAAGCUUAUGAUCUUUACUGUUGUUUUAAAAUUUCUAAACACAUUCUACAUUUUUAUUAAUGUAUAUUAAACUCUCUUUCAUGGUACAUGAGCAUAUUUUUAAUUUUUUGUCAGUUAAUUUAUUAAAACUUCAUAAUAUUCCCUAAAUUGGUGGACUAACCACUAGAAAAUCGCUUUUCUCUAGAAAAACGAAUACAACAAAGGUUUUAAAACUCUUUGAACUUCAUCAUAUGUUAGUGUAGGAUGCAAAUAUGCAUUAAAAAUUAUUUUCAUUUUUUUUUAAUUUUUCUCAAAAUCUAUGGGUUAACACCACUACGAAAAUAUUGAGUUUUUGGGUAAAUACUCUAUAAACUGAAGCAUAUGAUCUUUAGUGUUGUUUUAAAAUUUCUAAACACAUUUUACAUUUGAAUUAAUCUAUAUUAAACUCUCUUUCAUGGUACAUGAGCAUCGUUUUAAUUUUGUUUUCAAUUAAUUUAGUAAAACUUCAUAUUUCUCCCUAAAUUGGUGGACUAACCAUUAGAAAAUCGCUAUUCUCUAGAAAAACCGAGACAACAAAGGUUCCAAACCUCUUUGACCUUCAUCAUUUGUUAGUGUAGGAUGCAAAUAUGCAUUAAAAAUUAUUUUCAUAUUUUUGAAUUUUCUCAAAAUCUAUGGGUUAACCCCUACGAAAAUAUUGAAUUUUUCGGUAAAUGCCAUAUAUACUGAAAACUAUGAUCUUUAGUGUUGUUUUAAAAUUUCUAAAUACAUUCUACAUUUGUAUUAAUCUAUAUUAAACUCUCUUUCAUGGUACAUGAGCAUUGUUUUAAUUUUUUUUUCAAUUAAUUUAGUAAAACUUCAUAAUACUCCUUAAAUUGGUGGACUAACCACUAGAAAAUUGUCAUUCUCUAGAAAAACGGAGACAACAAAGGUUCCAAACCUCUUUGACCUUCAUCACAUGUUAGUGAAGGAUGCAGCUACGUAUUAAAACAGUAUUUUCAUUUUUUUGAAUUUUUCUCAAAAUCUAUGGGUUAACCCCUACAAAAAUAUUGAGUUUUUCAGUUAACGCCAUAUAUACUGAAGCCUAUUGUCUUUAGUGUUGUUUUAAAAUUCUAAACACAUUCUAUAUUUGUAUUAAUCUACAUUAAACUCUCUUCCAUGGUACAUGAGCAUCGUUUUAAUUUUUUUCAAUUAAUUUAGUAAAACUUCAUAAUAUUCUUUAAAUUGGUGGACUAACCAAUAGAAAAUCGCCAUUCUCUAGAAAAACGGAGACAACAAAGGUUUCAAAUCUCGUUUACAUUCAUCAUAUGUAAGUGAAGGAUGCAACUAUGCAUUAAAGAAAUAUUUUCAUUUUUUUGAUUUUUUUUCAAAACCUAUGAAAAUAUUGAGUUUUUCGGUAAAUGCUCUAUAUACUGAAGCCUAUGAUCUUUAGUGUUGUUUUAAAAUUUCUAAACACAUUCUACAUUUGUCUUAAUGUAUACUAAACUCUCUUUCAUGGUACAUGAGCAUCGUUUUAAUGUUUUGUCAGUUAAUUUAUUAAAACUUCAUAAUAUUUCCUAAAUUGGUGGACUAACCACUAAAAAAUCGCUAUUCUCUAGAAAAACAAAGACAACAAGGGUUCUUAACCUCUUUGAACUUUAUCAUAUGUUAGUGUAGGAUGCAAUAUGCAUUAAAAAUUAUUUUCAUAUUUUUUUUAAUUUUUCUCAAAAUCUAUGGGUUAACACCACUACAAAAAUAUUGAGUUUUUGGGUAAAUGCUCUAUAAACUGAAGCAUAUGAUCUUUAGUGUUGUUUUAAAAUUUCUAAACAAAUUUUAAAUUUGAAUUAAUCUAUAUUAAACUCCCUUUCAUGGUACAUGAGCAUCGUUUUAAUUUUGUUUUCAAUUAAUUUAUUAAAACUUCAUAUUUCUCCCUAAAUUGAUGGACUAACCAUUAGAAAAUCGCUAUUCUCUAGAAAAACCGAGACAACAAAGGUUUCAAACCUCUUUGACCUUCAUCAUUUGUUAGUGUAGGAUGCAAAUAUGCAUUAAAAAAUUAUUUUCAUAUUUUUGAAUUUUUCUCAAAAUCUAUGGGUUAACCCCUACGAAAAUAUUGAAUUUUUCGGUAAAUGCCAUAUAUACUGAAAACUAUGAUCUUUAGUGUUGUUUUAAUAUUUCUAAAUACAUUCUACAUUUGUAUUAAUCUAUAUUAAACUCUCUUUCAUGUUACUUGAGCAUUGUUAUAAUUUUUUUUUCAAUUAAUUUAGUAAAACUUCAUAAUACUCCUUAAAUUGGUGGACUAACCACUAGAAAAUUGUCAUUCUCUAGAAAAACGGAGACAACAAAGGUUCCAAACCUCUUUGACCUUCAUCACAUGUUAGUGAAGGAUGCAGCUACGUAUUAAAACAGUAUUUUCAUUUUUUUGAAUUUUUCUCAAAAUCUAUGGGUUAACCCCUACAAAAAUAUUGAGUUUUUCAGUUAACGCCAUAUAUACUAAAGCCUAUGGUCUUUAGUGUUGUUUUAAAAUUCUAAACACAUUCUAUAUUUGUAUUAAUCUAAUAUUAAACUCUCUUCCAUGGUACAUGAGCAUCGUUUUAAUUUUUUUCAAUUAAUUUAGUAAAACUUCAUAAUAUUCUUUAAAUUGGUGGACUAACCAAUAGAAAAUCGCCAUUCUCUAGAAAAACGGAGACAACAAAGGUUUCAAAUCUCGUUUACAUUCAUCAUAUGUAAGUGAAGGAUGCAACUACGCAUUAAAGAAAUAUUUUCAUUUUUUUGAUUUUUUUCAAAACCUAUGAAAAUAUUGAGUUUUUCGGUAAAUGCUCUAUAUACUGAAGCCUAUGAUCUUUAGUGUUGUUUUAAAAUUUCUAAACACAUUCUACAUUUGUCUUAAUGUAUACUAAACUCUCUUUCAUGGUACAUGAGCAUCGUUUUAAUGUUUUGUCAGUUAAUUUAUUAAAACUUCAUAAUAUUCCCUAAAUUGGUGGACUAACCACUAGAAAAUUGCUAUUCUCUAGAAAAACAAAGACAACAAGGGUUCUAAACCUCUUUGAACUUCAUCAUAGGUUAGUGUAGGAUGCAAAUAUGCAUUAAAAAUUAUUUUCAUAUUUUUUAAUUUUUCUCAAAAUCUAUGGGUUAACACCACUACAAAAAUAUUGAGUUUUUGGGUAAAUACUCUAUAAACUGAAGCAUAUGAUCUUUAGUGUUGUUUUAAUCUAUAUUAAAAUCUCUUUCAUGGUACAUGAGCAUCGUUUUUUUUUUUUUCAAUUAAUUUAGUAAAACUUCAUAAUACUCCCUAAAUUGGUGGACUAACCAUUAGAAAAUCGUUAUUCUCUAGAAAAACGGAGACAACAAAGGUUCCAAACCUCUUUGGCCUUCAUCAUAUGUUAGUGAAAGAUGCAGCUAUGUAUUAAAACAGUAUUUUCAUUUUUUUGAAUUUUUCUCAAAAUCUAUGGGUUAACCCCUACGAAAAUAUUGAAUAUUUCAGUAAAUGCCAUAUAUAUUGAAGCCUAUGGUCUUUAGUGUUGUUUUAAAAUUUCUAAACACAUUCAGAAUUUGUAUUAAUCUAUAUUAAACUCUCUUUCAUGGUACAUGAGCAUCGUUUUAAUUUUGUUUCAAUUAAUUUAGUAAAACUUCAUAAUACUCAUUCAAUUGGUGGACUAACCAAUAGAAAAUCGCUAUUAUUUAGAAAAACGGAGACAACAAAGGUUUCAAACCUCGUUUACCUUCAUCAUAUGUAAGUGAAGGAUACAACUAUGUAUUAAAACAGUAUUUUCAUUUUUUUGAAUUUUUCUUAAAAUCUAUGGGUUAACCCCUACGAAAAUAUUGAGUUUUUCAGUUAACGCCAUAUAUACUGAAGCCUAUGGUCUUUAUUGUUGUUUUAAAAUUCUAAACACAUUCUACAUUUGUAUUAAUCUAUAUUAAACUCUCUUCCAUGGUACAUGAGCAUCGUUUUAAUUUUUUUCAAUUAAUUUAGUAAAACUUCAUAAUAUUCCUUAAAUUGGUGGACUAACCAAUAGAAAAUCGCCAUUCUCUAGAAAAACGGACACAACAAAGGUUUCAAAUCUCGUUUACAUUCAUCAUAUGAAAGUGAAGGAUGCAACUAUGCAUUAAAGAAAUAUUUUCAUUUUUUUGAUUUUUUUUUCAAAACCUAUGAAAAUAUUGAGUUUUUCGGUAAAUGCUCUAUAUACUGAAGCCUAUGAUCUUUAGUGUUGUUUUAAAAUUUCUAAACACAUUCUACAUUUGUAUUAAUGUAUAUUAAACUCUCUUUCAUGGUACAUGAGCAUCGUUUUAAUUUUUUGUCAGUUAAUUUAUUAAAACUUCAUAAUAUUCCCUAAAUUGGUGGACUAACCACUAGAAAAUCGCUAUUCUCUAGAAAAACAAAGACAACAAAGGUUCUAAACCUCUUUGAACUUCAUCAUAUGUUAGUGUAGGAUGCAAAUAUGCAUUAAAAUUAUUUUCAUUUUUUUUUAUUUUUUCUCAAAAUCUAUGGGUUAACACCACUACAAAAGUAUUGAGUUUUUGGGUAAAUUCUCUAUAAACUGAAGCAUAUGAUCUUUAGUGUUGUUUUAAAAUUUCUGAACACAUUUUACAUUUGUAUUAAUCUAUAUUAAACUCUCUUUCAUGGUACAUGAGCAUCAUUUUAAUUUUUUUUUCAAUUAAUUUAGUAAAACUUCAUAAUACUCCCUAAAUUGGUGGACUAACCAUUAGAAAAUCGCUAUUCUCUAGAAAAACGGAGACAACAACGGUUCCAAACCUCUUUGACCUUCAUCAUUUGUUAGUGUAGGAUGCAAAUAUGCAUUAAAAAAUUAUUUUCAUAUUUUUGAAUUUUUUCUCAAAAUCUAUGGGUUAACCCCUACGAAAAUAUUGAAUUUUUCGGAAAUGCCAUAUAUACUGAAAACUAUGAUCUUAAGUGUUGUUUUAAAAUUUCUAAAUACAUUCUACAUUUGUAUUAAUCUAUAUUAAACUCUCUUUCAUGGUACAUGAGCAUUGUUUUAAUUUGUUUUUUAAUUAAUUUAGUAAAACUUCAUAAUACUUCCUAAAUUGGUGAACUAACCACUAGAAAAUUGUCAUUCUCUAGAAAAACGGAGACAACAAAGGUUCCAAACCUCUUUGGCCUUCAUCAUAUGUUAGUAAAGGAUGCAGCUAUGUAUUAAAACAGUAUUUUCAUUUUUUUGAAUUUUUCUCAAAAUCUAUGGGUUAACCCCUACGAAAAUAUUGAAUUUUUCAGUAAAUGCCAUAUAUAUUGAAGCCAAUGGUCUUUAGUGUUGUUUUAAAAUUUCUAAACACAUUCAAAAUUUGUAUUAAUCUAUAUUAAACUCUCUUUCAUGGUAAAUGAGCAUCGUUUUAUUUUUUUUAAUUAAUUUAGUAAAACUUCAUAAUACUCCUUAAAUUGGUGGACUAACCAAUAGAAAAUCGCUAUUAUUUAGAAAAACGGAGACAACAAAGGUUUCAAACCUCGUUUACCUUCAUCAUAUGUAAGUGAAGGAUGCAACUAUGUAUUAAAACAGUAUUUUCAUUUUUUUGAAUUUUUCUUAAAAUCUAUGUGUUAACCCCUACGGAAAUAUUGAGUUUUUCAGUUAACGCCAUUUAUACUGAAGCCUAUGGUCUUUAGUCUUGUUUUAAAAUUCUAAACACAUUCUACAUUUGUAUUAAUCUAUAUUAAACUCUCUUUCAUGGUACAUGAGCAUCGUUUUAAUUUUUUUCAAUUAAUUUAGUAAAACUUCAUAAUAUUCCUUAAAUUGGUGGACUAACCAAUAGAAAAUCGCUAUUCUCUAGAAAAACGAAGACAACCAAGGUUUCAAAUCUCGUUUACAUUCAUCAUAUGUAAGUGAAGGAUGCAACUAUGCAUUAAAGAAAUAUUUUCAUUUUUUUGAUUUUUUUUCAAAACCUAUGAAAAUAUUGAGUUUUUCGGUAAAUGCUCUAUAUACUGAAGCCUAUGAUCUUUAGUGUUGUUUUAAAAUUUCUAAACACAUUCUACAUUUGUACUAAUGUAUAUUAAACUCUCAUUCAUGGUACAUGAGCAUCGUUUUAAUUUUUUGUCAGUUAAUUUAUUAAAACUUCAUAAUAUUCCCUAAAUUGGUGGACUAACCACUAGAAAAUCGCUAUUCUCUAAAAAAACGGAGACAACAAAGGUUCUAAACCUCUUUGAACUUCAUCAUAUGUUAGUGUAGGAUGCAAAUAUGCAUUAAAAAUUAUUUUAUAAUUUUUUUAAUGUUUCUCAAAAUCUAUGGGUUAACAACACUACAAAAAUAUUGAGUUUUUGGGUAAAUGCUCUAUAAACUGAAGCAUAUGAUCUUUAGUGUUGUUUUGAAAUUUCUAAACACAUUUUACAUUUGUAUUAAUCUAUAUUAAACUCUCUUUCAUGGUACAUGAGCAUCGUUUUAAUUUUUUUUUCAAUUAAUUUAGUAAAACUUCAUAAUACUCCCUAAAUUGGUGGACUAACCAUUAGAAAAUCGCUAUUCUCUAGAAACACGGAGACAACAAAGGUUCCAAACCUCUUUGACCUUCAUCAUUUGUUAGUGUAGGAUGCAAAUAUGCAUUAAAAAUUUAUUUUCAUAUUUUUGAAUUUUUUCUCAAAAUCUAUGGGUUAACCCCUACGAAAAUAUUGAAUUUUUCGGUAAAUGCCAUAUAUACUGAAAACUAUGAUCUUUAGUGUUGUUUUAAAAUUUCUAAAUACAUUCUACAUUUGUAUUAAUCUAUAUUAAACUCUCUUUCAUGGUGCAUGAGCAUUGUUUUAAUUUUUUUUUCAAUUAAUUUAGUAAACCUUCAUAAUAUUUCCUAAAUUGGUGAACUAACCACUAGAAAAUUGUCAUUCUCUAGAAAAACGGAGACAACAAAGGUUCCAAACCUCUUUGGCCUUCAUCAUAUGUUAGUGAAGGAUGCAGCUAUGUAUUAAAACAGUAUUUUCAUUUUUUUGAAUUUUUCUUAAAAUCUAUGGGUUAACCCCUACGAAAAUAUUGAAUAUUUCAGUAAAUGCCAUAUAUAUUGAAGCCUAUGGUCUUUAGUGUUGUUUUAAAAUUUCUAAACACAUUCAAAAUUUGUAUUAAUCUAUAUUAAACUCUCUUUCAUGGUAAAUGAGCAUCGUUUUAAUUUUUUUUAAUUAAUUUAGUAAAACUUCAUAAUACUCCUUAAAUUGGUGGACUAACCAAUAGAAAAUUGCUAUUAUUUAGAAAAACGGAGACAACAAAGGUUUCAAACCUCGUUUACCUUCAUCAUAUGUAAGUGAAGGAUGCAACUAUGUAUUAAAACAGUAUUUUUAUUUUUUUGAAUUUUUCUUAAAAUCUAUGGGUUAACACCUAUAGAAAUAUUGAGUUUUUCAGUUAACGCCAUAUAUACUGAAGCCUAUGGUCUUUAGUGUUGUUUUAAAAUUCUAUACACAUUCUACAUUUGUAUUAAUCUAUAUUAAACUCUCUUUCAUGGUACAUGAGCAUCGUUUUAAUUUUUUUUCAAUUAAUUUAGUAAAACUUCAUAAUAUUCCUUAAAUUGGUGGACUAACCAAUAGAAAAUCGCUAUUCUCUAGAAAAACGAAGACAACCAAGGUUUCAAAUCUCGUUUACAUUCAUCAUAUGUAAGUGAAUGAUGCAGCUAUGCAUUAAAG